RNAcentral lists this ribosomal RNA (254 nucleotides) under uncultured bacterium. RNAcentral describes it as "partial 16S ribosomal RNA". It matches the Rfam family "Bacterial small subunit ribosomal RNA", at positions 524 to 776 of the family's 1533-position model. The record is from RNAcentral.
UACGUAGCGGGCAAGCGUUGUCCGGAUUUAUUGGGCGUAAAGAGCUCGUAGGUGGUUCGGUAAGUCGGAUGUGAAAUCUCCAGGCUCAACCUGGAGGGGUCAUUCGAUACUGCCGUGACUAGAGGUCGGUAGGGGAGUGUGGAAUUCCUGGUGGAGCGGUGAAAUGCGCAGAUAUCAGGAGGAACACCCGUAGCGAAGGCGGCACUCUGGGCCGAUACUGACACUGAGGAGCGAAAGCGUGGGGAGCGAACAGG